GGAGUUCUGAUGGGAUCCGGUGCA
RNAcentral lists this non-coding RNA (24 nucleotides) under Arabidopsis thaliana (thale cress). Lineage: Eukaryota; Viridiplantae; Streptophyta; Magnoliopsida; Brassicales; Brassicaceae. The record is from RNAcentral.